UCUUACAUUCUAUACCUCUAGAAAUGAAUGCCAACAUUGCAUUUGCCUUAUUCACCAACUCAACCUGGAGCUUAACCUUUAGGGUAUCCUGCACAAGGACUCCCAAGUUCCUUUGCACUUUGAAUUCUCUCUCCAUCUAAGUAAUAGUCUUCCCUUUUAUUCCUUCCACCAAAGUACAUGACCAUACACUUUCCGAUUUUGUAUUCCAUUUGCCACUUUUUUGCCCAUUUCCCUGAACUAUCAAAGUCUCUCUGCAGGCUCUCUGUUUCCUCAACACAACCCGCUCCUCCAUUUUAUCUUUGUACUAUUGGCAAGUUUAGCCACAAAUCCAUUAAUUCCACAGUCCAAAUCAUUAACAUACAUCAUAAAAAGCAGCGAACCCAACACUGACCCUUGUGAAAAUCCACUGGUAACUGGCAGCCAGCCAGAAUAGGAUCCCUUUAUUCCCACUCUCUGUUUUCUGCUGAUCAGCCAAUGCUCCACCUAUGCUAGUAACUCCCCUGUAAUUCCAUGGGCUCUUAUCUUGCUAAGCAGCCUCAUGUGUGUCACCUUGUCAAAGACCUUCUGAAAAUCCAAGUACACCACAUCUACUGCAUUUCCUAUUUGCUGCUACAUCUCCCUACAUUACAAGAGCUACCAUAUUUCAAGGCGAGGCUCUAAGGGCAAAUGAUUCCCAAGUUUUCUACUGAUUGAAAGACAUCCUGGCUCAGGGUACGGCUUUACCAGGAUGGAGAGGUGACUUCCCGAGAAAUCUGCUGAACGCGCUUUGAAAUAGGUCAGAACAUGAUGAUGGUGAUGUACCAGCAGGCUACAGUGCAUGCAUCAGCACUUUUUCAAGAUUUCUGCAGCUGAAAACUGGAGUG
This is a long non-coding RNA of Hypanus sabinus (Atlantic stingray), 863 nucleotides long. RefSeq lists it as uncharacterized. The transcript has 3 exons. The record is from RefSeq and is a predicted model, not a curated record. NCBI's taxonomy places the organism in Eukaryota, Metazoa, Chordata, Chondrichthyes, Myliobatiformes, Dasyatidae.